GCCAGGUGUGGUGGCGCAGGCCUGUCAUCCCAGCAGCAUAGGAGGCUGAGUUGGGAGGAUUGCAAGUUCAAAGCCAGCCUCAGCAACUUAGUGAGGACUUAAGCAACUUAGCAAGAACCUGUCUUCA
RNAcentral lists this small RNA (127 nucleotides) under Marmota monax (woodchuck). Lineage: Eukaryota; Metazoa; Chordata; Mammalia; Rodentia; Sciuridae. The record is from RNAcentral.